RNAcentral lists this ribosomal RNA (496 nucleotides) under uncultured bacterium. RNAcentral describes it as "partial 16S ribosomal RNA". It matches the Rfam family "Bacterial small subunit ribosomal RNA", at positions 28 to 506 of the family's 1533-position model. The record is from RNAcentral.
GAUGAACGCUGGCGGCGUGCCUAAUACAUGCAAGUCGAGCGAACGGACAAGAAGCUUGCUUCUCUGAUGUUAGCGGCGGACGGGUGAGUAACACGUGGAUAACCUACCUAUAAGACUGGGAUAACUUCGGGAAACCGGAGCUAAUACCGGAUAAUAUUUUGAACCGCAUGGUUCAAAAGUGAAAGACGGUCUUGCUGUCACUUAUAGAUGGAUCCGCGCUGCAUUAGCUUGUUGGUAAGGUAACGGCUUACCAAGGCAACGAUGCAUAGCCGACCUGAGAGGGGGACCGCCCCACUGGGACAUGGGCACGGGCCCGGAUCCCCAGGGGGGGAAGAAGGAGGGAAUUUUCCGAAAGGGGCGAAACCCGGAAGGGGCAACCCCGCGUGGGGAAAGAAGUGUUUCGGACCGUAAACCUCUUUUAUUAGGGAAAAAAAUAUGUUUAAGUAACUUGGCAAAUUUUGGCGGUACCUAAUAAAAAAGCCACGGCAACCUGCGC